AUGUGGACCUCUGGAAGUUAUGGAUUUAAAAUCUGAGUGGCAGAUCUUCCGGAUCGAUCUACGUAGUGACGUAUUUUAUAUAAGUUAUAUAUUCUAUCGAUAUGAAUUCUGAGGUUGGAUUUGAUUACUGUUCUAGGCGGCGAUCGUCAUGACGCCUUGAUGUGUGGUGCUAGGGAGUUGUUGGACGAACUCCAGGUGAGUGGGCAGUUUUGUUUUCCGUAUACAUAUAUAAUUGACGUUUCCCAGAAAUUGAAAAUGUUACGAAAGUAUGCUUUAAAUGCAAAGUAUAAAAGUAUGUUUUCAAAUGCCAUGAGUAGAUUAUAUGAAAGAUAUGAUUUGAGAUAUAUUAGUUGAAAUACCAUGCUUAGAAGUAUGUGAAAAGUAUAUAGAAAUGUGAAUCGAAAUGCCAUGCAUGAAAUGAUAUGAAAAGUAUGAAUUGAGAUAUGAUGCAUAUGUAUGAAUUGGUGCUGUGGACGCACAGGUGAGUAUCAGGUGAGUAUAUUACUGCUAUGAUGAUGUUGAGAUAUAUUGAGCUCAUAACCUGCACCUUGGUAUUAGUGCUUAUUAUUAUUCACCGCAUCGCAUGCUCACCUUGGAUCCAAGUAGAUGCUAGUCGUACAGACCACCGGGGGUGGUUCCGACAUGCCAGUCGUACAGACCAUUAGAGGGGUUCCGACUGGUAGGUGACCUUAGAUUAUGUGCACAGAUGAUUGAUGAGAAAAGCACUAGAGCAUAUUAUUACACCAUUAAGUCGUACAGAUUACAUUAGGUAAUUCCGACUUAUGUGCAGUGUAGUGCCGUACAGGUCAUACUAGGUGACUCCGGCAUGGCCGAACAGGUCACAGUUGGUGACUCCGGUUAUAUGAGAUUUUGAGCUCUACAUUCAGCCGUACAGGACCAUUGUAGGGUCUCCGGUUGAUUUCUUUCUUGCACCUGAUAUGAUUAUUGCUGAUGCAUUCAUACUUAACUGUUGAAUUUAGACAUGGCAUGGCAUGAUUGAUAAAGAUAAAUGUUGAGAUAGUAAAAAUGAAGUUUUGAUAAUAUAUAUGUAUAUUUAUAUUUUACAUUUCUGGGAAAGUAUACAGGUUUUACGGAGAGGGGUUACAACGUUUUGAGAAAUGUUUGGAUUUGGAAAAGAAUUGUUUUACUGACCCACUCAAUUUUGGUUUUGCGCCCCUCCAGGUUCAUGAAUCACAAAGGUGUGGUGACUACGAGGAAUUCGACGGUGUUCUGACAGAUUGGACAAAAUUAGGACUCACUUUCGGGUGUAUCAACUUAGGAAUUGUAUCUUAAAGCUUCCGUACUGUGCAAAUGGUUACGUCACUCUCACGUGACGGCCAGCAUGCCCUCCUUCGGGACGGGGUGUGUCAGUUGGUAUCAGAGCAUGGUUGCAAUCUUGGACAUUUUGAGAAGUUCUAGUGAAUUCUGUCAGAACUACACCGCCUCGUAGCAAGCCACUUAGUUAGAGGAAUUUAGUCUCCCUAAUAUAACGGUUUAGGGGAAACUAUUAUUAUGGUGAUUCAGUCUAUUAUAAAAAGGGACAUUUUAAGAUGGGUUAUGAGUUGAAUUUGAAUCACUUAAGAGAAAUGAUGAACCUGAGGGAGCGAAGUAACGGUUUAACCAUUUGGAAAAGAUGUUUCGGAUUAUGCAAGUCAAAGGAAUCUUCCUUCUGACAAGGGGUCGAGAUGACUACCUGGUUUGAGUUAUGAACGUGUAUCCUGAUGGAAGCAGGAGUAUUAAUUGUUGUCAUCGGAGGAACAGCCGAUUUAAAAUUGUUUAAGGACUUGUUUAAGGAAAAGUUUAUCCCUCCGGCAUUUAUCGAUGGUAGUAAACAAGAGUUUACAAAUAUGAGACAAGGAAGGUGAUGAUCGAGGGAUAUUAUAGAAAGUUUUCAGACUUGCCUUGUUCCAUCCAGAUAUUGUUGUUAUUGGUGGAGGUGUUAUGUUGUUUUAAGCUGGGUGGCAAAAAGGGAAGUGGUAUUUUGGGUGACCACUAUCCAUUGUAGUUCUUAUCAGGAGUAUGCUAGAUGUUGUUGAGUCUUGAGGACUCUGAGAACAUGAGCAACGAGAAUAAAGAAGAAUAAGAAAUGAAUGGGAAUUUAAAGAAGACGAUAAAGUUAAUGAUUCGUCAUAUCAAGGAGAUAGAAAGAUUCAGAGCUUCGAAAGAAGUGAAGCUAGAGUUAAUUCUUCCAGCUGAGGUUUUAAUGUCGCUGGUCAGAGUAAAAGUGAUGGAUAUACUGGUAAUCCCAGAUAUUUGAGACAAGGUGUCUCGAGUAAAGGAAAUGUACUUUGUGCAGCAGGUACAAAAUUAACACUUUGGGAAAUGUGAAAUUAAUGAAUGUGUUUAUGUAAACAGAGGGGACACAUAAUUGUGAAUCGUCCCUAAAAUCAGUUGUACUCAACAAUUUUCCAUGAUAUCAUAGUGUCAAUUCAGCAGAGUUAUGGACUUAGUAGUUUGGUUGGAUUGACCAUGAGUACCGAGAGAUUUGAUGAGUUAUAUGUUCAGCCGUACAGGCCAAAAGAGGUGGAUCCGGCUGACACAUGAGAAAUUGGUGAGUUAUAGGCUCGGCUGUACGGACCACAAGAUGUGGAUCCGGCCGACGUAUUUACUGGGGAAUUGAUGUGUAAGUCGUACAGGUCACUAUAAGUGACUCCGACUAAUGUGCUAGCAUAGAUGGUUGAGCUGGAGAAUCAGCCGUACAGGUCAUUCUAGUUGACUCCGGCUGAUAUAUUUCUGAGUAUGGACAAUGAUGCCAAAGAAAGUAAUGUUGGAACGUGAUAGAGGCGUAUAUGUGUAUUCUAAUGAAAAAAAAAAAUGAUAGUAUUACACCUUUGGGAAUUGUUGCUUACUUAUCGAGACAACGAUGAUUUAUCAGUAUUGCGGGCUGCAGACCGUAAUAUUAAUAACUCAUUCGUGGAUUCGUUAAGCAAGCAAACCGGUAUUUUAUUUUAUGUUAGUGUUGUACUUAUUUAGAAUGUUCAGUAAUAAUAAAGUAUGUAUUGGGUCAGUUAAUUUUAUUCCAUUAGAUUGAUUAUUUAUAGUUGUGACUAGAUGGAAUAUUACGGGAAACCAGUUACUUUCCAUCGAUCUGGAUGACCAGAGAUUACUUUUGUAAGUAUGCAAAAUGGAUUGAGUCAGGCCGUUAUUUAUGCUGUGAGAGCAAAGAGAUUGUUUUCGAAAGGCUGUCAAAAAUACUUAGCUCAUGUGGUGCUAAAUGAUGUUGUUUGGAGUAGUGUGAAUAAUGUCGAAAGAGUUAGACUUUUCUUGAUGUCUUCUCUGAAAGUAUACCUGGAUUGUCUUCAGGCAGAGAUAUGAGGUUCAUUAUUGAUUUGUUGCCAGGUAUAAAUUUAUGUUAAAGAUUGGUUCAUGAUGAGUUAAGGGAAUUGGAAAUUCAGUUGAGAGAAUUGGUUGAUAAAAGUUUUAUUCAACCUAGUACAACACUGUUGAGGAGCACCAGUUUGUUGGUGAGAAAGGAAAUGGACUUAGAGAUUGUUCAUUGAUUAUAGAUAAUGGAAUCGGGUAACGAAUGAGAACCGUUAUCCAUUGUGGUGUAUUGACGCUCAUUUGAUCAGUUCAAAGGUGCUUGUAUAUUUUCAAAGAUUGACUUGAAUACUGUUUAUUAUCAAUUGAAGAUUAUGAGUUAUUGGAUGAAGUAUUCCAAUAAUGCCUUGAUAAAUAGAUAUCAUUUUCAUUGAAGAUAUUCUGGCAUAUUCUGAGCCAGAGCAGAACAUGUAAACGUAUUAAGUCGGUGGAACAAAGAUUGGAAGAAUGUCGGUUGUAUGCUAAGUAGCAAAUGCUAAAGUUAGAUGAAUCAUGUGGCAUUCUGAGAAUUGUUAUAUAUUCUUAAGGUAUUCAAGUGAAUCCUUAAAAGAUAGCAGAAAUUGAGAAAUUGGAACAACCACAAGCCAUAAUUGAGAUUCGGAAAUUCUUAACUUAUCAGGCUAUUUUGGAUGGUUGUGAAAGAAUUUUUAGUCAUUGUUUUGUCAUUGAUGAGACUGUUGAGAAAGGAGGUUAUGUAUGAGUGGGAAGGAAAUUGUGAGCAAAGGAUUCAACAACUGAAGUAUUUCCUCACUCAUGCACGUAUUUUAGUAAUCCCAAAGAAUAAUGGUAAUCAUAAAUUUUUAGUGAUGUUUCUUGAAUGGUAUUGGAUGCAUGUUGAUGCAAAUGUUAGGGUGAUUGCAUACGUUUCACGACAAAUGGAAUCUCAUGAGAUGAAUUACCCUACUGGUGAUUUGGAAGUCACGAUUACCAUCCUUGCUGUGAAGUUAUGGAGACAUUCUAUGUUGAUAAGAAUGCAAGAUUUUACAAAUCAAAAGAGUCUCCAAUAUUUGUUUACUUGGAAGGAUUUUGAUAGGAGGCAGCGAAUGUGAAUUGUAUUGCUUAAUGAACAUGAUUGUACGAUCAGGGUGAUCGUAAAGUUUGUUCUAACUGAAGCACUUGGUGAGAAGACUACAAUAAGAUUAAUGUCUGGCACGUUUGCCAAGAGUAUCAUCUUGUGGAUUGAAACCAACGGAAGAAAAAUUAAGAAUGGAAGAUCGAGAAGAAGUUAUACUUGUUAAAUUUCAAGUUAGGCCUGUUUGGUAAGGUCGUACUUGAAACUUAAAUGCUUGACGAAGAAAUUUAAGAAUUAACCAAGGUAGAGAAAGAAGGUAAGUUAAAUCCUAAGUUAAUCGGACUUAAGUGAUUAUCGAAAAGUUGGUGAAGUUGCUUACAAGCUUGUGAUGCCCUCAGAAUUGGUUAAGGUGCAAAACAUAUUUUAUGAUUCGAUGCGUUGUCACUAGGUGGCAGAUUCGUCACAUAAGAUUCUGGUGUAACUAUUGAGAAUUAAAUUGGAUUCGACUUGAUAAGGAACCAAGGACGACUUUGGAUUGGAAAAAGAAGGUCCUGAGAAAUUAAGACAGAGUAAGUAGUAGUAAAAGCUUUGUGAAGGAAAUCAUUCAGUAGAAAAGUAUGUGGGAGAAAGAGAAUCGGAUGAGAAAGAUUUACCCGAAGCUAUUGUUGGAGUAUGGUUUGAUUUUAGUUGGUUGCUGGAAUUUCGGGGACGAAAUUCUAUAAGGAGGGAAGAUUGUCACAGCCCGUCCCGGAAUUUUAAUUCCGAGGACAUGAAAAGACGAAAAUGCCCUUAAACGGGACUAAGGGGCGAAAAUUUAACAAUUUGGAUUGAGUUGGACACGUGGGAUCCCCACACCCCUCAAUCCUCUCCCUAUUUUCUGCAUACUGUCUCUCUCUCCUCCCUCACGAAUCUCUCUCUCUCUGUCACUCUUCUUCUCCGUUCGAACAAACCAACCACAAAACAACCUUAAACUUCCACCAACGACGGAGUUAAGACUACCAUCGAACUCCUGGAGACUCCACGAUCACGUAGACACCAAUUUCAGGUAAGUUUUACUUCGGAAAACCUAGAUUCUAAACUCCCCGUGAAAGUGCACUGUUCAUGAUCUUCGAAUUGACUUUGUUUUAGGACAAUCCAAGCUCACAGUGAGCUUAGUGAGGUUCCAAGGAAGCUCGGAGUGCUUCGUUGGAAGUUUUUGGACGUAAGAACACGGAGAUCGAUAAGUUCAAAGUUUGGCCGGAGCUUUCGAGGCAUUUUCCGGCGAAUCCCCGGCGAGUUAGGCGUCGAGGUAGGUAUCAAUCUCUUUCGUCUCGUCAAGUACUACAAACUUUCCUUUUUGUUUCACUCAAUUUCGUUGAGUAUUGAAGAAGUUAUACUCAUUUGAAAAAUACCCAGUUUCCGGCGACCUCCGAGGCUUUCGAGGCAGUUUCCGGCCAAACUACGGCGAACUAGGUGUUGGGAAAGGUACCAUUCUCUUUGUCUCUUCAAGGGCUACAACUUUCGUUUUUGAAUCACUUGAUUUCGUUGAGAAAUGACAAAGUUAUGGUAAUUUGAAAAACUGCCCAGAAAACGGCCGCCGGAAAAACCAGUCCGGCGACCCAAGGAAGAAGAAGGUGCUACAGUAAAAAAAUAAAUAAAAAUAAAAUUAUUUUAAAAAUAUGUCGACGUCCGUGACGUCGAGUAGAUCACCGUGGUAUAUUCAUAUACCCAAAUUGAACACCGUAUGAGAAAGUUAUUGAAGAUUGUUGGUUAGGUGUUCAAAUAACGUUUUUAUAGUUUUCACAUUUAGGUGAAAAUGUGAAUUGAUGAUCCGACCGUUGGAUCGUCACCAAACUUUGAUACGUUGUAAUACGUAAUAUUUGAGGAUUAUUGGAACUUACGGAUUGGGAAUCCGAGUUACGGAUCUUCCGGAAUUGGAAUUUGUAAGUCCAUAAUAUAAAAUGUUAACCGUCACUUAGUUUUGGAAAUUGACGGAGAUCCGACCGUUGGAUGGUAAUGAAAUUUUAGGAUGUUGUCCUAGAGGUAUAAUGUGGACCUCUGGAAGUUAUGGAUUUAAAAUCUGAGUGGCAGAUCUUCCGGAUCGAUCUACGUAGUGACGUAUUUUAUAUAAGUUAUAUAUUCUAUCGAUAUGAAUUCUGAGGUUGGAUUUGAUUACUGUUCUAGGCGGCGAUCGUCAUGACGCCUUGAUGUGUGGUGCUAGGGAGUUGUUGGACGAACUCCAGGUGAGUGGGCAGUUUUGUUUUCCGUAUAUACAUAUAUAAUUGACGUUUCCCAGAAAUUGAAAAUGUUACGAAAGUAUGCUUUAAAUGCAAAGUAUAAAAAAGUAUGUUUUCAAAUGCCAUGAGUAGAUUAUAUGAAAGAUAUGAUUUGAGAUAUAUUAGUUGAAAUACCAUGCUUAGAAGUAUGUGAAAAGUAUAUAGAAAUGUGAAUCGAAAUGCCAUGCAUGAAAUGAUAUGAAAAGUAUGAAUUGAGAUAUGAUGCAUAUGUAUGAAUUGGUGCUGUGGACGCACAGGUGAGUAUCAGGUGAGUAUAUUACUGCUAUGAUGAUGUUGAGAGAUAUAUUGAGCUCAUAACCUGCACCUUGGUAUUAGUGCUUAUUAUUAUUCACCGCAUCGCAUGCUCACCUUGGAUCCAAGUAGAUGCUAGUCGUACAGACCACCGGGGGUGGUUCCGACAUGCCAGUCGUACAGACCAUUAGAGGGGUUCCGACUGGUAGGUGACCUUAGAUUAUGUGCACAGAUGAUUGAUGAGAAAAAGCACUAGAGCAUAUUAUUACACCAUUAAGUCGUACAGAUUACAUUAGGUAAUUCCGACUUAUGUGCAGUGUAGUGCCGUACAGGUCAUACUAGGUGACUCCGGCAUGGCCGAACAGGUCACAGUUGGUGACUCCGGUUAUAUGAGAUUUUGAGCUCUACAUUCAGCCGUACAGGACCAUUGUAGGGUCUCCGGUUGAUUUCUUUCUUGCACCUGAUAUGAUUAUUGCUGAUGCAUUCAUACUUAACUGUUGAAUUUAGACAUGGCAUGGCAUGAUUGAUAAAGAUAAAUGUUGAGAUAGUAAAAAUGAAGUUUUGAUAAUAUAUAUGUAUAUUUAUAUUUUACAUUUCUGGGAAAGUAUACAGGUUUUACGGAGAGGGGUUACAACGUUUUGAGAAAUGUUUGGAUUUGGAAAAGAAUUGUUUUACUGACCCACUCAAUUUUGGUUUUGCGCCCCUCCAGGUUCAUGAAUCACAAAGGUGUGGUGACUACGAGGAAUUCGACGGUGUUCUGACAGAUUGGACAAAAUUAGGACUCACUUUCGGGUGUAUCAACUUAGGAAUUGUAUCUUAAAGCUUCCGUACUGUGCAAAUGGUUACGUCACUCUCACGUGACGGCCAGCAUGCCCUCCUUCGGGACGGGGUGUGUCACAAAUAAUUCAAAACCUGUCUCUAACUCUCUGAUCCAAUGAUCCAAAUAAUUAAGUAAUGUUAACAAUUACAUGUUAAUUUUUUUUAAGUAAUUAAGUAAUGUUAACAAUCACCAUGUUUUAUAUUAGGAUUAUUUUAUUAUCAAAUUGGAUUAUUCAUUAAAUUGGAUUAUUAUCAAAUUUGAUUAUUAUUCAUCACCAUGUUUUAUAUUAGGAUUAUUUUUUUAUGAAAUUGGAUUAUUAUUCAUUAAAUUAGAUUAUUAUUCAUUAAAUUGGAUUAUUAUCAAAUUGGAUUAUUAUUCAUCACCAUGUUUUAUAUUAGGAUUAUUUUUUUAUGAAAUUGGAUUAUUCAUUAAAUUGGAUUAUUAUCAAAUUGGAUUAUUAUUCAUCACCAUGUUUUAUAUUAGGAUUAUUGUACUAAUUCAUUAUAUAUAAAUUAUUAUGAUGUGUUUAGACUUCUUUCAUUAAUUACUACAUAUUUUCUACAUUCACAAUGUUUGUCAGCUAGCUAUAUAAUCAACUUGAUAAUGCUAAAUCCAUCAUGCAAUGCAUUUCUUUCCAAUUUUUUGUGAUAAACUAAUAGAUAAUUGACUAAAU
This 8333-nucleotide long non-coding RNA is filed under the name Malus domestica (apple). RNAcentral's name for it is "long non-coding RNA (MDOM_LNC008954)". The record is from RNAcentral. Lineage: Eukaryota; Viridiplantae; Streptophyta; Magnoliopsida; Rosales; Rosaceae.